Molecule: unclassified non-coding RNA, 206 nt
Filed under: Hevea brasiliensis (rubber tree)
Lineage: Eukaryota; Viridiplantae; Streptophyta; Magnoliopsida; Malpighiales; Euphorbiaceae
Source: RNAcentral
AAUACUCAGGAUUUCUAGUAUCUGGGUGCACAGCAGAAGAGGCAUCCAUGACUUCAGAUGUCUCUUCCAGGUUAUUUUUCAAAGGCCUUGAUGCAAAUGGCCCAGAAAAGGCAGAACUAAUGCCAGAUCCAAAACUACCAAAGCUCAAGUGUGAACAGUCUUGUGCAUGAACUUGCAGGUGAUUUGGAAUUAUUACAGAAGGAUUA